Long non-coding RNA from Tetranychus urticae (two-spotted spider mite), 1382 nucleotides. RefSeq lists it as uncharacterized. Lineage: Eukaryota; Metazoa; Arthropoda; Arachnida; Trombidiformes; Tetranychidae. The record is from RefSeq and is a predicted model, not a curated record.
CAGUUAACCAAGAUUAUUAGCAGAACAGCUAAUUGGUUCAAGUGGGAAAUUUUUUUCAUUUUUUAACGUUUUUCAUUCUCUAUCUCAUGAAUUUAUGUAGUUUUAUAAUUAAUUUUAAAAGUAUUCAUUUUAAUUAUCUUGUGUUUCGAUCUCUUGAUUUAUUCAAUGUUAAUUGUCAAAAUUAGAUAUGAAUGUGUAUCCAAUGGAUUCAAUUUUUCUGGAUGGUUUAUCUCAAUGGGAUUUUAUGGUUAUGAUGGCUAUGAUGGCUCUAUGGGUUAAUCAAUUUGGAAGGUUGACCAAAAAGGUGGUACAAACGUCAACAUACCUUUCAUCUGAUCGAGAUAGCCUGUGUUGAAGGUCUGAUAAAGCAGGAUCAAAAGGUAAUCCAAGGGAAGAACGGCUUGUUCCUGGUCCUGGAUUUCCUUGUCUUCCAGAGUUUCAAAUUAUUUUAGCAGCAAUGACACUUUAAAUGGUGCCGAUGGACAAUAGGAUGUGAAAAAUUAUGGCUGAAAAUGAUUGAUAAUUAAGGAGUUGACAUAAGGAAAGGUGAAUUGGUCUGGUUUCUCUUUGAUUUCCUUGGUUUGCCUUUCAAUCAUGAUUUGUAACAUUUGGACAUCCAAUUAUGCUAUUCAAUUGAUUGAAUUGCUAAAUAAUUCAUGAAGAUUCAACGAGGAUUCAAUGAUAAUUGACAAAUAAGGAGACACAUAAAGACUCAUAUGAUUGGCACUUUUUUUAAAUCAAUUUACAGUUCAACUUUACGUCUUCAACAGUUUAACAGUACCAUAAAAUGUAAAUUGAACAAAACUUUGAAAUCCAGUUGUUAACCUUUUACUGAUCAACUGGGAAAUCAAGAAUUUACUUUAUUGUAAUUACUUUGUUGCUGUUAUUUGUUUUACACUUGUUACUCCGUUUAUCAAAAAAUCAGGGACUAAAGAUGAUGACAAAGAUUGAACAAUUCAUAAUCAUUUGGAAGAAAAGUUCAUCCACAAGGCAAAUAAGAUAUCGCAACAAAUUCAAGUGUUAAUUUUUCACCUUGUUUGACUUGAUAAACUACAGAAUUGAAAAUGAUACCAAGAGUGUAUUGUGAAGGGAUUUCGCGCAAUUUACACUCAACGCAUACUCUCAUCAGUUAACAUUUAGAUGAUAUUCAUUCAUCUUCAGGUUUGAUGAUGAAAAACUCCAAACUAAAUUGCUUGAAAUAUGCGACUCUAUUCCCGGAAUUUUGUGACAGCUGCCUGAUACAAUUGUAAAUCUUUGACCAAUUAGAUUUCACGUCUACCCGAAAAUUCCUGAUCGAGUUAAAUCACAUUUUUGCUCAAAGUAUGAGAGCAUAAAUACCGUAAAUUCAUUAACCAAACAAACCUUUUUUUUGCAAAAAAAUA